Aplysia californica (California sea hare) is the source of this 778-nucleotide long non-coding RNA. RefSeq lists it as uncharacterized. Lineage: Eukaryota; Metazoa; Mollusca; Gastropoda; Aplysiida; Aplysiidae. The transcript has 4 exons. The record is from RefSeq and is a predicted model, not a curated record.
CCAAGGCCUAUUUCCGUUUGAAAUCGAGGUUGGAUACUCAACAUCCGCUUCCGUCCUUUCUAAUAAACCUCAAGCCCUAGGUCUAUUGAGGAAAAAUGAGAGCUAAGUGGCGAAAGAAGCGUAUGAGGAGGCUGAAGAGGAAAAGGAGAAAGAUGAGGGCGAGAUCAAAGUAAGCUGUACCUCAGGUCACUAGUUCGGCAAGUGUGAAUUGAGACUGCAUUGGCCGGGUCUUCUGUGAGCUUCCUGCCACCUCAUCCUCCUGUCAGCUGGACCGGAGAGACUACUUCUUCCAUUACAGACACCACAAGGACAGCGACUCGUACCUGCAGGCUAGCCCCCAUCAAUUCAUCAUCAUCUUCGGCAACAGCAGCUCCAACAGCAACAAUUACAGGGUGGUGUGGGCUGCAGGUUGCUGUAUCUGAAAAGCUUCCGCAUUGGGUGCUCCGUCCUGUGUGACCCUUGUGGCGAAUGUUGACCAAGGUUGAGGCAAAACAGCGACAUUCUGACUGGUUAUGAUGGUUUCUGUUGUCUGUCGCUGGUCUUGUCACUUUGGAUGGUUGAAGACUUUGUUGUCUAUACUUUAGGGUAACGGUCAUAAGGGCUUGAGUUAAGAGCACUUGCUUUUUUUAAUCUCAAGUCUGAACUUUUGCCUCAAUGUGCUGAUAACCACAUGGUGUAUUCAGGACACAGGUUCUUCUUGGAAUUAUUCUUUUGAACAUUGAAGAUGCGGAGUUUGCAGUUUUACUUUAUGCUUGUUAAUAAAUACAUAAAAAUGUUA